Molecule: ribosomal RNA, 516 nt
Filed under: uncultured bacterium
Lineage: Bacteria
Description: partial 16S ribosomal RNA
Rfam family: Bacterial small subunit ribosomal RNA
Source: RNAcentral
GACGAACGCUGGCGGCAUGCCUAAUACAUGCAAGUCGAGCGGAGUUGAUGGAAAGCUUGCUUUCCUGAUGCUUAGCGGCGGACGGGUGAGUAACACGUAGGCAACCUGCCCUCAAGCUUGGGACAACUACCGGAAACGGUAGCUAAUACCGAAUACUUGUUUUCUUCGCCUGAAGAGAACUGGAAAGACGGAGCAAUCUGUCACUUGGGGAUGGGCCUGCGGCGCAUUAGCUAGUUGGUGAGGUAACGGCUCACCAAGGCGACGAUGCGUAGCCGACCUGAGAGGGUGAUCGGCCACACUGGGACUGAGACACGGCCCAGACUCCUACGGGAGGCAGCAGUAGGGAAUCUUCCGCAAUGGGCGAAAGCCUGACGGAGCAAUGCCGCGUGAGUGAUGAAGGUUUUCGGAUCGUAAAGCUCUGUUGCCAGGGAAGAACGCUUGGGAGAGUAACUGCUCUCAAGGUGACGGUACCUGAGAAGAAAGCCCCGGCUAACUACGUGCCAGCCGCCGCAGUAA